Molecule: ribosomal RNA, 429 nt
Filed under: Acidobacteriota bacterium
Lineage: Bacteria; Pseudomonadati; Acidobacteriota
Description: Acidobacteria bacterium partial 16S ribosomal RNA
Rfam family: Bacterial small subunit ribosomal RNA
Source: RNAcentral
UGGGGAAUUUUGGACAAUGGGGGAAACCCUGAUCCAGCCAUCCCGCGUGUGCGAUGAAGGCCUUCGGGUUGUAAAGCACUUUUGGCAGGAAAGAAACGUCAUGGGUUAAUACCCCGUGAAACUGACGGUACCUGCAGAAUAAGCACCGGCUAACUACGUGCCAGCAGCCGCGGUAAUACGUAGGGUGCAAGCGUUAAUCGGAAUUACUGGGCGUAAAGCGUGCGCAGGCGGUUCGGAAAGAAAGAUGUGAAAUCCCAGAGCUCAACUUUGGAACUGCAUUUUUAACUGCCGGGCUAGAGUGUGUCAGAGGGAGGUGGAAUUCCGCGUGUAGCAGUGAAAUGCGUAGAUAUGCGGAGGAACACCGAUGGCGAAGGCAGCCUCCUGGGAUAACACUGACGCUCAGGCACGAAAGCGUGGGGAGCAAACAGG